UCAGACUGCCUGUAGAGCACCUGUGGCUACUAUCCAGUAGCUCAUCAUCAUCAGUGUGUGAAUGGCUGAAUGACUGACUGUAGUGUGAAUGUGAAGUACUUUGGAGUCCUCUGGACUUGAUAAAGCACUAUAAAAGUACAGGCCAUUUAUCAUUUACCACAGUUCAGAGUCAAAUAUUUAGCUAAUAUGUAAACUAACUUGCCAACAACCAGAAAUGUUAAAUAACUGUUAAACAUAUUUUCUUUGUUUUAAUGGUUGUUGUGUUGAUUACAGGGUGAUUUCUGUUAUCAAAAGGAAGCAAUGAAAAAAAAAGACUUGUUAAAGUGUUUGUUUGUCAUCUCACGUAUAUACAGCCAGUAUUACAAACUUGACGAUGGCUACAAAAAGUAACAGUUAUCCAAAUGCUAAUGGUGGUGUUUAUGCAAUAUUGACC
Poecilia latipinna (sailfin molly) is the source of this 433-nucleotide long non-coding RNA. RefSeq lists it as uncharacterized. The transcript is spliced from 3 exons. The record is from RefSeq and is a predicted model, not a curated record. Lineage: Eukaryota; Metazoa; Chordata; Actinopteri; Cyprinodontiformes; Poeciliidae.